UACGUAGGUGACCAGCGUUGUCCGGAUUUACUGGGCGUAAAGAGCGCGCAGGCGGUCGUUCAAGUCGAGUGUGAAAGCCCCCGGCUCAACUGGGGAGGGUCACGCGAUACUGAUCGACUCGAAGGCAGGAGAGGGAAGUGGAAUUCCCGGUGUAGUGGUGAAAUGCGUAGAUAUCGGGAGGAACACCUGAGGCGAAGGCGGGCUACUGGGCCGAUACUGACGCUGAUGCGCGAAAGCCAGGGGAGCAAACGGG
This 253-nucleotide ribosomal RNA is filed under the name uncultured bacterium. RNAcentral's name for it is "partial 16S ribosomal RNA". It matches the Rfam family "Bacterial small subunit ribosomal RNA", at positions 524 to 776 of the family's 1533-position model. The record is from RNAcentral.